UACGUAGGGGGCUAGCGUUGUCCGGAAUUAUUGGGCGUAAAGAGCUCGUAGGCGGCUUGUCACGUCGGGUGUGAAAGACCGGGGCUUAACCCCGGUUCUGCAUUCGAUACGGGCUGGCUAGAGUGUGGUAGGGGAGAUCGGAAUUCCUGGUGUAGCGGUGAAAUGCGCAGAUAUCAGGAGGAACACCGGUGGCGAAGGCGGAUCUCUGGGCCGAUACUGACGCUGAGGAGCGAAAGCGUGGGGAGCGAACAGG
This 253-nucleotide ribosomal RNA is filed under the name uncultured bacterium. RNAcentral describes it as "partial 16S ribosomal RNA". It matches the Rfam family "Bacterial small subunit ribosomal RNA", at positions 524 to 776 of the family's 1533-position model. The record is from RNAcentral.